Molecule: non-coding RNA, 73 nt
Organism: Ciona savignyi (Pacific transparent sea squirt)
Lineage: Eukaryota; Metazoa; Chordata; Ascidiacea; Phlebobranchia; Cionidae
Source: Rfam
GGUCCUGUGGUCCAAUGGAUAAGGCGCCUGACUACGAAUCAGGAGAUUCCAGGUUCGAGUCCUGGCAGGAUCG